This 484-nucleotide ribosomal RNA is filed under the name uncultured bacterium. RNAcentral describes it as "partial 16S ribosomal RNA". It matches the Rfam family "Bacterial small subunit ribosomal RNA", at positions 30 to 507 of the family's 1533-position model. The record is from RNAcentral.
AUUGAACGCUGGCGGCAGGCCUAACACAUGCAAGUCGAGCGGAUGAAGGGAGCUUGCUCCUGGAUUCAGCGGCGGACGGGUGAGUAAUGCCUAGGAAUCUGCCUGGUAGUGGGGGAUAACGUCCGGAAACGGGCGCUAAUACCGCAUACGUCCUGAGGGAGAAAGUGGGGGAUCUUCGGACCUGACGCUAUCAGAUGAGCCUAGGUCGGAUUAGCUAGUUGGUGGGGUAAAGGCCUACCAAGGCGACGAUCCGUAACUGGUCUGAGAGGAUGAUCAGUCACACUGGAACUGAGACACGGUCCAGACUCCUACGGGAGGCAGCAGUGGGGAAUAUUGGACAAUGGGCGAAAGCCUGAUCCAGCCAUGCCGCGUGUGUGAAGAAGGUCUUCGGAUUGUAAAGCACUUUAAGUUGGGAGGAAGGGCAGUAAGUUAAUACCUUGCUGUUUUGACGUUACCAACAGAAUAAGCACCGGCUAACUUCGUG